Molecule: non-coding RNA, 27 nt
Filed under: Cricetulus griseus (Chinese hamster)
Lineage: Eukaryota; Metazoa; Chordata; Mammalia; Rodentia; Cricetidae
Source: RNAcentral
AUCAUGAUCGUGAGGAGGGCCAUCAAG